AGGGCACGUUCAGGGUCCCACCCUGCCCGCUGCCACCGUGCUGGGGGCCACGCCGGGACUACGUGGGCUAAAGAGGGGCUGCCCAGCAUGGUCCCCCUGCGGGCACAGUGGGGCAGUGGACAUGGUGAUGGUCACCCACCAAGUGGUCCUACUCUACCUGUGUUAUUGCAUUUAUACGCUUGUUCGACUCAAAGGACGCUGGGUAAGGCAGGCGGGGCCCUCUCCAGGGGCACCUUUGGGGGCAGACACAGCUGGGGGCAGGUCCUUGAUACCCCCUCCCUGCC
Molecule: long non-coding RNA, 284 nt
Organism: Myotis brandtii (Brandt's bat)
Lineage: Eukaryota; Metazoa; Chordata; Mammalia; Chiroptera; Vespertilionidae
Exons: 3
Source: RefSeq, a predicted model, not a curated record